This 490-nucleotide ribosomal RNA is filed under the name uncultured bacterium. RNAcentral describes it as "partial 16S ribosomal RNA". It matches the Rfam family "Bacterial small subunit ribosomal RNA", at positions 28 to 507 of the family's 1533-position model. The record is from RNAcentral.
GAUGAGCGCUAGCGAUAGGCUUAACACAUGCAAGUCGAGGGGCAGCAUGGUCUUAGCUUGCUAAGACUGAUGGCGACCGGCGCACGGGUGCGUAACGCGUAUGCAACUUGCCUCACAGAGGGGGAUAACCCGUCGAAAGACGGACUAAUACCGCGUACACUCCAUCUUGGGCAUCCAAGGUAGAGGAAAUGAAAUUCGCUGUGAGAUAGGCAUGCGUCCCAUUAGCUAGUUGGUGAGGUAACGGCUCACCAAGGCGACGAUGGGUAGGGGAACUGAGAGGUUGAACCCCCACACUGGUACUGAGACACGGACCAGACUACUACGGGAGGCAGCAGUGAGGAAUAUUGGUCAAUGGGCGAGAGCCUGAACCAGCCAAGUCGCGUGAAGGAUGACUGUCUUAUGGAUUGUAAACUUCUUUUAGACGGGAAUAACAAGAGUCACGUGUGACUCCCUGCAUGUACCGUAUGAAUAAGCAUCGGCUAACUCCGUG